AAAGGUUAAAAGUUAAAAAUUAAAAUCUAAAAUUUAAAAUAUAAAAGUUAUAAAUUAUUAUAAAAAUAAAAUUAAAAAUAGGAUUAAGAAAGAUAAAAGCAAAGGUAUCUUGAUAAUGUCUAAGAAUUAAAAGUAGUAAAUCCUUUCUACUCCAAAAUUUUCUAAAAAUCAUGAUUAACUUCAAAUUGUAUGAUUUUUAGUUUGUUGCAAAUUUAACUUAAAGGCGUUCUUGCUUCAAUAAAUUUGAAUUUAAUCCAAUACCUAAGCCACUAAAAAUGCUCCUUCAAAGUUGAGUGACCAAGACUACUGUGGCAGGAAACCUUCUUUCACUUAAAAAUUAACCAAAACUUCAACUCAUCUUCAAAUUUAGUAAAAUUUAUGCUAUAAGAAGCUCAGCUUAAAGAUGCACUUGUUCUUAAAAUUUUACAAUAAUCCAAUUAGGAAGCACUGAGGAAUGUAU
RNAcentral lists this long non-coding RNA (460 nucleotides) under Physcomitrium patens. RNAcentral's name for it is "long non-coding RNA (PPAT_LNC009096)". The record is from RNAcentral. Lineage: Eukaryota; Viridiplantae; Streptophyta; Bryopsida; Funariales; Funariaceae.